This 1445-nucleotide ribosomal RNA is filed under the name uncultured organism. RNAcentral describes it as "16S ribosomal RNA". It matches the Rfam family "Bacterial small subunit ribosomal RNA". The record is from RNAcentral.
CAGGCUUAACACAUGCAAGUCGAGGGGCAGCAUGGUCUUAGCUUGCUAAGGCCGAUGGCGACCGGCGCACGGGUGAGUAACACGUAUCCAACCUGCCGUCUACUCUUGGACAGCCUUCUGAAAGGAAGAUUAAUACAAGAUGGCAUCAUGAGUCCGCAUGUUCACAUGAUUAAAGGUAUUCCGGUAGACGAUGGGGAUGCGUUCCAUUAGAUAGUAGGCGGGGUAACGGCCCACCUAGUCUUCGAUGGAUAGGGGUUCUGAGAGGAAGGUCCCCCACAUUGGAACUGAGACACGGUCCAAACUCCUACGGGAGGCAGCAGUGAGGAAUAUUGGUCAAUGGGCGAGAGCCUGAACCAGCCAAGUAGCGUGAAGGAUGACUGCCCUAUGGGUUGUAAACUUCUUUUAUAAAGGAAUAAAGUCGGGUAUGGAUACCCGUUUGCAUGUACUUUAUGAAUAAGGAUCGGCUAACUCCGUGCCAGCAGCCGCGGUAAUACGGAGGAUCCGAGCGUUAUCCGGAUUUAUUGGGUUUAAAGGGAGCGUAGAUGGAUGUUUAAGUCAGUUGUGAAAGUUUGCGGCUCAACCGUAAAAUUGCAGUUGAUACUGGAUAUCCUGAGUGCAGUUGAGGCAGGCGGAAUUUGUGGUGUAGCGGUGAAAUGCUUAGAUAUCACGAAGAACUCCGAUUGCGAAGGCAGCCUGCUAAGCUGCAACUGACAUUGAGGCUCGAAAGUGUGGGUAUCAAACAGGAUUAGAUACCCUGGUAGUCCACACGGUAAACGAUGAAUACUCGCUGUUUGCGAUAUACAGCAAGCGGCCAAGCGAAAGCGUUAAGUAUUCCACCUGGGGAGUACGCCGGCAACGGUGAAACUCAAAGGAAUUGACGGGGGCCCGCACAAGCGGAGGAACAUGUGGUUUAAUUCGAUGAUACGCGAGGAACCUUACCCGGGCUUAAAUUGCAGAUGAAUUACGGUGAAAGCCGUAAGCCGCAAGGCAUCUGUGAAGGUGCUGCAUGGUUGUCGUCAGCUCGUGCCGUGAGGUGUCGGCCUAAGUGCCAUAACGAGCGCAACCCUUGUUGUCAGUUACUAACAGGUUCCGCUGAGGACUCUGACAAGACUGCCAUCGUAAGAUGUGAGGAAGGUGGGGAUGACGUCAAAUCAGCACGGCCCUUACGUCCGGGGCUACACACGUGUUACAAUGGGGGGUACAGAGGGCCGCUACCACGCGAGUGGAUGCCAAUCCCCAAAACCUCUCUCAGUUCGGACUGGAGUCUGCAACCCGACUCCACGAAGCUGGAUUCGCUAGUAAUCGCGCAUCAGCCACGGCGCGGUGAAUACGUUCCCGGGCCUUGUACACACCGCCCGUCAAGCCAUGGGAGCCGGGGGUACCUGAAGUGCGUAACCGCGAGGAGCGCCCUAGGGUAAAACUGGUGACUGGGGCUAAGUCAUAAC